Molecule: long non-coding RNA, 576 nt
Organism: Alligator mississippiensis (American alligator)
Lineage: Eukaryota; Metazoa; Chordata; Crocodylia; Alligatoridae
Exons: 3
Source: RefSeq, a predicted model, not a curated record
AAGGGGGAAGGAGUGCAUCUCAGAGCUCCAUGGAGAAGCUUGGUGGAAAGUCCAAAGCCAGGAAGAGGGGAACUAUAGAAGCCCUGGAGAGACGACAGCCGCACUGCAGCAAGGACUGGAGCUGAUGGUGGGGAGCUAAAACACAAACCCUGCAACUAAAAGAGAUGAGUUAUCCAGAUCUGCUACAAACAUUCAACAUGUGACUUGGAGCUAGUAAUUCCUCUAAGCUGGCACUGGCAGGACUAAGGGCUGGAAGAGUCCCCACCUGAGCUGGAAGAGGAGCAGGAGAGACUUAAAUUCUUGGCAUAUUCAGAAAUGCACUGAUGACUAAGGCUGCUCUGAGAUCAUCUAUAGUGGCUGCUCUCAAGCAUGCUGAAGACCAGGAGCUCCAGAAUGUCUACAUGGGGACAUCCUACACUGGCCUAAGCAGUACGCUGGAUGCUGGGACACACUACUGUCAUGGUAUAUCUAUAACUGGAGACCUACCUAAAUCACAAUUUUGCAGAAACUGUGAAAAACAGUGUUGUCUGUGAUUGUUGCAAUUGCUGGGAAAUCUGGCUUUGGUAGUGAUUUUCU